Molecule: ribosomal RNA, 450 nt
Filed under: uncultured bacterium
Lineage: Bacteria
Description: bacterial SSU rRNA
Rfam family: Bacterial small subunit ribosomal RNA
Source: RNAcentral
UGGGGAAUCUUGCGCAAUGGGCGAAAGCCUGACGCAGCAACGCCGCGUGGAGGAUGAAGGCCCUUGGGUUGUAAACUCCUGUCGGCUGGGAAGAAAUCGUACGGUGCUCAUACCACCGUGCGUUGACUGUACCAGCAAAGGAAGCCCCGGCUAACUCUGUGCCAGCAGCCGCGGUAAUACAGAGGGGGCUAGCGUUAUUCGGAAUUAUUGGGCGUAAAGGGCGCGUAGGCGGCCAUGCGUGUCUUCCGUGAAAUCCCUCGGCUUAACUGAGGACGUGCGGAAGAAACUGCAAGGCUCGAGUCCGGGAGAGGGGGGUGGAAUUCCCAGUGUAGCGGUGAAAUGCGUAGAUAUUGGGAGGAACACCGGUGGCGAAGGCGGCCCCCUGGACCGGUACUGACGCUGAGGCGCGAAAGCGUGGGUAGCAAACGGGAUUAGAUACCCCCGUAGUCC